CCCUGGGGCUUGGGUUGAGUCUCAGAGGAUGAAUGGGAGUUGGCAAGCAAAAUUGACGGAAGGGUGGGGAAGAGUUCUGUGGUUGGGUGAAUAGGAGGGACUACGUCACAAGAGACGUGAAAUGAUAUUAUGCUGGCAAAUAAAUACACAAGGAAAGUCUGAGGCAGACUAUGGAGGAAGAUGAGCUGGGAGAGAAAGACAUGAAGCGGGGUUCUUAUUCUGCACAAGGAACUUUGCAAGAGAUGGAUAAUAGCUGGGUCACCUCCGGUCACCAGGCAUCCCUCUGGUCAGUCCCAUUGUCUGCUCUGUGAACAUCCCCAAUGGUCGAUGCAUCAACUUCAAAAUAUUCG
This 350-nucleotide long non-coding RNA is filed under the name Callithrix jacchus (white-tufted-ear marmoset). RNAcentral's name for it is "lncRNA (ENSCJAG00000072024.1)". The record is from RNAcentral. Lineage: Eukaryota; Metazoa; Chordata; Mammalia; Primates; Cebidae.